GACGAACGCUGGCGGCGUGCCUAAUACAUGCAAGUAGAACGCACAGUUUAUACCGUAGCUUGCUACACCAUAGACUGUGAGUUGCGAACGGGUGAGUAACGCGUAGGUAACCUGCCUGGUAGCGGGGGAUAACUAUUGGAAACGAUAGCUAAUACCGCAUAAUAUUAAUUAUUGCAUGAUAAUUAAUUGAAAGGUGCAAUUGCACCACUACCAGAUGAACCUGCGUUGUAUUAGCUAGUAGGUGAGGUAACGGCUCACCUAGGCGACGAUACAUAGCCGACCUGAGAGGGUGAUCGGCCACACUGGGACUGAGACACGGCCCAGACUCCUACGGGAGGCAGCAGUAGGGAAUCUUCGGCAAUGGACGAAAGUCUGACCGAGCAACGCCGCGUGAGUGAAGAAGGUUUUCGGAUCGUAAAGCUCUGUUGUAAGAGAAGAACGGGUGUGAGAGUGGAAAGUUCACACUGUGACGGUAUCUGACCAGAAAGGGACGGCUAACUACGUG
This 505-nucleotide ribosomal RNA is filed under the name uncultured bacterium. RNAcentral's name for it is "partial 16S ribosomal RNA". It matches the Rfam family "Bacterial small subunit ribosomal RNA", at positions 28 to 507 of the family's 1533-position model. The record is from RNAcentral.